AGAGUUUGAUCCUGGCUCAGGAUGAACGCUGGCGGUAUGCCUAACACAUGCAAGUCGAACGGUCUCUUCGGAGAUAGUGGCGGACGGGUGAGGAACGCGUGAGAAUCUGCCUCUAAGUCGGGGACAACAGUGGGAAACUACUGCUAAUACCGGAUGAGCUGAAAAGUAAAAGAUUUAUCGCUUAGAGAGGAGCUCGCGUCUGAUUAGCUAGAUGGUAGUGUAAAGGACUACCAUGGCGACGAUCAGUAGCUGGUCUGAGAGGAUGAGCAGCCACACUGGGACUGAGACACGGCCCAGACUCCUACGGGAGGCAGCAGUGGGGAAUUUUCCGCAAUGGGCGAAAGCCUGACGGAGCAAUACCGCGUGGGGGAGGAAGGCUCUUGGGUUGUAAACCUCAAAACUUAGGGAAGAAAAAAAUGACGGUACCUAAUAUAAGCAUCGGCUAACUCCGUGCCAGCAGCCGCGGUAAUACGGGGGAUGCAAGCGUUAUCCGGAAUCAUUGGGCGUAAAGCGUCCGUAGGUGGCAUUUCAAGUCUGCUGUCAAAGACCGAAGCUCAACUUCGGGAAGGCGGUGGAAACUGAAAAGCUAGAGUGAAGUAGGGUAGAGGGAAUUCCUAGUGUAGCGGUGAAAUGCGUAGAGAUUAGGAAGAACACCAGUGGCGAAGGCGCUCUACUGGGCAUAUACUGACACUGAGGGACGAAAGCUAGGGUAGCGAAAGGGAUUAGAUACCCCUGUAGUCCUAGCGGUAAACGAUGGAUACUAGGUGUUGUCUGUAUCGACCCGGACAGUGCCGAAGCAAACGCGUUAAGUAUCCCGCCUGGGGAGUACGCACGCAAGUGUGAAACUCAAAGGAAUUGACGGGGGCCCGCACAAGCAGCGGAGCGUGUGGUUUAAUUCGACGCAACGCGAAGCACCUUACCCAGGCUUGACAUGCAGCUGCAUCCGUGGGAAACCACGGCGCCUUCGAGGGCGCUGCACAGGUGCUGCACGGCUGUCGUCAGCUCGUGUCGUGAGAUGUUGGGUUAAGUCCCGCAACGAGCGCAACCC
This 1048-nucleotide ribosomal RNA is filed under the name uncultured cyanobacterium. RNAcentral describes it as "bacterial SSU rRNA". It matches the Rfam family "Bacterial small subunit ribosomal RNA", at positions 8 to 1104 of the family's 1533-position model. Lineage: Bacteria; Bacillati; Cyanobacteriota. The record is from RNAcentral.